AGGAACGAACCGUUCUUCUAAGUGAACCCGUUCUUUUGAACCGUUCUUUCGCUCUUUUUUUUCGCCAGAUUGAAAUGUUAAUAUUGGUAUGAAAAACAACUAAAAGUUGUGCAGUAUUUUUUCUUAUUUGUGCAAUUAAGUACAUAAAUAUGUGCAGCUUUUCAUAUUUGCUGUUAAAAAUAGUAGGCCUAUUAUGUACAGGGUUUUCCAAGAUUCAAACGAGCCGAUACCGAUCGAGAGCAACAAUUCCGACUGAUUGCUCUGAUAUCUGCCAGUAAUUUCCCCCUUUAUAUACGCUCGGCCAAACGUGGUGGUACAGCUACGAGCUGCCCGUCAGGUGGAAAACUCACCAGUACUGGUAAUGGUUUACAUACAAUUCAUCGCGGCCCAUACUUCUAUGGAUUCGGAGCCGAAUAUGCUGGAACACGAGAUAGAUAUGUCACACUUGAUUGUGACACAGGGGUGCAAACGCACAACUGUCUGUUCGUUAUGUUCAACAACUUUCUCAUCAAGUUGAAUGAAUUCAAAAUAACGCAGGCGCGGAGUACUAGGAUUUCCUGCUGGUGCAAUUUGCAGACGAGAGCCAGUGCCACAUCCACCUCAACACAAUACAAGCCUUCGUGAUACUGUUGACGCAUUCUAGCUAUACUCCGGUAGCGUCGCAAAUUUUGGACUAUUUGUUUUCGGAGGGAGGACAACCGAAGCUGUUGGCACUGUUGGAUCCAGCGGUAAUCGAUCAGUUCGAUGCAGUAAACAACACAAUGCACAAAAACUAUCUGGCGCAGCUGGUAGAAAUUCUACAAACCAGAGGUGCCAAAAAUAGACACAUCUCGAUUCAGGCAUUAGAGCUAGAAAAUCGACCCAUCCGAUAAUGAACCUAACUGUAAUGGAGCAGUUCCAAAUCGAUCUCGACGAUGAAACCUGAACCAGAACUGUCUCCGAGCACAGUAGGUCUGGUUCAAGUCGAAAUAAAUCGAAGAAGUUGUUGGGAUUGUUCUGACGUAUCCUGCUAUCAGCCAACCGCACAUGGCUAAAUAUCACAAGCUAAUUCAGCGGUUGACAAAUGCGGAAAAGUCAAAAUCACAGGAAAUCACCACGAAUAAGGUGCUGAAUUAUCUCGGAAGGCUGAUUAAAAGCUCCCAGGGACAAUACCUGAUCAUACAAUGGAUAUAAAAUCAGCAGAUGUAUUGCUUGUUCCGCUUACUACUAGAUAUUGCACCAGAAAAGUUUGAAAACAUAAGUUUUUUCCACCAUGUUUAGACGAAAUUAUCAAAUAUAUGAAAAUCCGACAUCAAACACAGUGUUGUUACAGAUUCUCGUGGGAAAACGCCAACAGCUUUUCAAGGUUGCUCAGAAGGAAACGCUCGAGGAUCAAAGUCAGUCACAGACUAUUGCAAAUGUUGACCACCAUCAAAGCUUCCGAAGUUGAACGCAAGGGCAAACAACAGCUCCGCCAGACAAGCCGGGAUGAGAUGUAUAACGUUAUCUCCACCUUUCUCAAAGGAGGUAAACUAUUCGCUCUGAAAAAUCCCGAACUGCAGUUUAACAAACGGUCUGCUGGUGGACUGGUUAGCUAGUGCCGAUUCCGAACUGAUUCACGUGAACAAGGAGAUCCAGAUGGAUUUGCUAUUCAAUCGAGCGUUGCCCCAAUUUCGACCUUAUCUUCUCUCGCUGAUGAGUCAUCAGACCACCUGGUCCACUCUUCACCAGACGGUGAUCAUGCUGAUGGAAGGUUUCUAACCAAACUGUGAUCCUUCUUCGGUUUUGGACUUUGUUGAAACGAUGACAAGAAAUCCGAACUUUUGACAGGGAAGUGAUUAGUCGGUUCCCAAGCAUCAGCAAAUAGAGAUUGUAACGUUCAACGAACGACAAAUUUAAACCUUCGUCGAUUACGUAUUGGCGGAAGAUAUUUUUACUACGAAUAUGUGCCUAAUUGGAAGAAGAGUCCUACAAUUUUUCGUCGAAUUAAAAACAAAUGAAUUUAUACCGUAUCUAGCAAUAUUAUAAGUUGUAUAUUUCAAAAAUGCACAGUUAAUUAAGUUAAUUAAUUAACGUUCCUCUCAAUAUGCUACACUUUUGACUUGAAUGAGGAUAAGUUGUAGGCGCGACAUCAUUAAACAACAACAACGAUAAUAACAGAUGAAUGUAAAGAACAUAUAUUUAUUUAUAAAAUAAUAUUAGACUAAAAAGUAUUAAUAAUUAUGGUUAAUAAAAAUUAUUUUUGAUAUUUUGUUUGUA
This is a long non-coding RNA of Toxorhynchites rutilus septentrionalis, 2238 nucleotides long. RefSeq lists it as uncharacterized. The transcript has 3 exons. Lineage: Eukaryota; Metazoa; Arthropoda; Insecta; Diptera; Culicidae. The record is from RefSeq and is a predicted model, not a curated record.